UAGGGAAUAUUGCACAAUGGGGGAAACCCUGAUGCAGCGACGCCGCGUGAGGGAAGAAGGUUUUCGGAUUGUAAACCUCUGUCUUCGGUGACGAAACAAGACGGUAGCCGAGGAGGAAGCCACGGCUAACUACGUGCCAGCAGCCGCGGUAAUACGUAGGUGGCAAGCGUUGUCCGGAAUUACUGGGUGUAAAGGGAGCGUAGGCGGGAGUGCAAGUUGAAUGUGAAAACUAUGGGCUCAACCCAUAGUUGCGUUCAAAACUGCAUUUCUUGAGUGAAGUAGAGGUAAGCGGAAUUCCUAGUGUAGCGGUGAAAUGCGUAAAUAUUAGGAGGAACACCAGUGGCGAAGGCGGCUUACUGGGCUUUAACUGACGCUGAGGCUCGAAAGCGUGGGUAGCAAACAGGAUUAGAUACCC
RNAcentral lists this ribosomal RNA (415 nucleotides) under uncultured bacterium. Its description in RNAcentral is "bacterial SSU rRNA". It matches the Rfam family "Bacterial small subunit ribosomal RNA", at positions 355 to 787 of the family's 1533-position model. The record is from RNAcentral.